Molecule: long non-coding RNA, 427 nt
Organism: Limulus polyphemus (Atlantic horseshoe crab)
Lineage: Eukaryota; Metazoa; Arthropoda; Merostomata; Xiphosura; Limulidae
Exons: 2
Source: RefSeq, a predicted model, not a curated record
AUUAUGAAUUUAACAUAAGAUUUUCUACAAAAAAUUAAAAGCUGAUAUACCUACUACACCCGAAAGGAUAUUGCAGUAAUAUCAUAUACCUAUAGUGAAAGCGUCAACUACUGUAAUGUUCUUUGCUGGCCAAGUGGAUGAUAUGUGUAUGCUACAACCAACGAAUGCUGUGAGAGAAUGAUCAGCCACGAAGUGAUACUAUCGUAACAUAAAGGGCAUUAUGUUUAUUGCAAAAUCUGAGACACUACCCUUUCAGUUCUACUUGGUUAUUGACGUGAAUAGUUCAGUGAGGAUCCAUCUCGAGAGUAGCUGUUUAUCAGUUCACAGGCCCAGCAGGGGCGAUUUGUCCACUCGUCUAUGCAAGUAUCCACGCUGUUAUUUUUUGUUGUUGUCUCUGCAAUAAAGAAUGUUUUCACUUAUCUUCAAA